GUCGAUAUGGCGAAAUUGGUAGACGCGCAUGAUUCAGGUUCAUGUGGAGAAAUCCUUGGGGGUUCGACUCCCCCUAUCGACA
RNAcentral lists this transfer RNA (82 nucleotides) under Acinetobacter sp. CAG:196_36_41. RNAcentral's name for it is "tRNA-Leu". It matches the Rfam family "tRNA". From Rfam's summary of the family: Transfer RNA (tRNA) molecules are approximately 80 nucleotides in length. Their secondary structure includes four short double-helical elements and three loops (D, anti-codon, and T loops). Further hydrogen bonds mediate the characteristic L-shaped molecular structure. tRNAs have two regions of fundamental functional importance: the anti-codon, which is responsible for specific mRNA codon recognition, and the 3' end, to which the tRNAs corresponding amino acid is attached (by aminoacyl-tRNA synthetases). tRNAs cope with the degeneracy of the genetic code in two manners: having more than one tRNA (with a specific anti-codon) for a particular amino acid; and 'wobble' base-pairing, i.e. permitting non-standard base-pairing at the 3rd anti-codon position. Lineage: Bacteria; Pseudomonadati; Pseudomonadota; Gammaproteobacteria; Moraxellales; Moraxellaceae. The record is from RNAcentral.